RNAcentral lists this transfer RNA (87 nucleotides) under Alphaproteobacteria bacterium. RNAcentral's name for it is "tRNA-Leu". It matches the Rfam family "tRNA". From Rfam's summary of the family: Transfer RNA (tRNA) molecules are approximately 80 nucleotides in length. Their secondary structure includes four short double-helical elements and three loops (D, anti-codon, and T loops). The record is from RNAcentral. Lineage: Bacteria; Pseudomonadati; Pseudomonadota; Alphaproteobacteria. RNAcentral also lists the same sequence under 1 other name.
GCGGGCGUGGCGGAAUUGGUAGACGCAGCAGACUUAAAAUCUGUCGGCCGCAAGGUCAUGCCGGUUCAAGUCCGGCCGCCCGCACCA